RNAcentral lists this transfer RNA (73 nucleotides) under Ailuropoda melanoleuca (giant panda). It matches the Rfam family "tRNA". Rfam says of the family: Transfer RNA (tRNA) molecules are approximately 80 nucleotides in length. Their secondary structure includes four short double-helical elements and three loops (D, anti-codon, and T loops). Further hydrogen bonds mediate the characteristic L-shaped molecular structure. tRNAs have two regions of fundamental functional importance: the anti-codon, which is responsible for specific mRNA codon recognition, and the 3' end, to which the tRNAs corresponding amino acid is attached (by aminoacyl-tRNA synthetases). tRNAs cope with the degeneracy of the genetic code in two manners: having more than one tRNA (with a specific anti-codon) for a particular amino acid; and 'wobble' base-pairing, i.e. permitting non-standard base-pairing at the 3rd anti-codon position. Lineage: Eukaryota; Metazoa; Chordata; Mammalia; Carnivora; Ursidae. The record is from Rfam by way of RNAcentral.
ACCUGGCUGGCUCAGUUGGUAGAGCACGCAACUCUUGAUCUUGGGGUUGUGAGUUUGAGCCCCACAUCAGGUA